GGUCUGCGGCGGACGGGUGUGUCCCGCGUGGGAACGUGCCUUCUGGUCUGGAAUAACCCUGGGAAACUAGGGCUAAUACCGGAUACGCCCUUUUGGGGAAAGGUUUACUGCCGGAAGAUCGGCCCGCGUCUGAUUAGCUCGUUGGUGGGGUAACGGCCUACCAAGGCGACGAUCAGUAGCUGGUCUGAGAGGAUGAUCAGCCACACUGGGACUGAGACGCGGCCCAGACUCCUACGGGAGGCAGCAGUGGG
Molecule: ribosomal RNA, 251 nt
Filed under: uncultured bacterium
Lineage: Bacteria
Description: partial 16S ribosomal RNA
Rfam family: Bacterial small subunit ribosomal RNA
Source: RNAcentral